GACGAACGCUGGCGGCGUGCCUAAUACAUGCAAGUCGAGCGGAAUGAUGAAGAAGCUUGCUUCUUCUGAUUUUAGCGGCGGACGGGUGAGUAACACGUGGGCAACCUACCUUGUAGAUUGGGAUAACUCCGGGAAACCGGGGCUAAUACCGAAUAAUCCAUUUUGCUUCAUGGCGAGAUGUUGAAAGACGGUUUCGGCUGUCACUACAAGAUGGGCCCGCGGCGCAUUAGCUAGUUGGUAGGGUAAUGGCCUACCAAGGCGACGAUGGGUAGCCGGCCUGAGAGGGCGAUCGGCCUCACUGGGACUGAGACACGGCCCAGACUCCUACGGGAGGCAGCAGUAGGGAAUCUUCCACAAUGGACGAAAGUCUGAUGGAGCAACGCCGCGUGAGUGAAGAAGGUUUUCGGAUCGUAAAACUCUGUUGUAAGGGAAGAACACGUACGAGAGUAACUGCUCGUACCUUGACGGUACCUUAUUAGAAAGCCACGGCUAACUACGUG
This 500-nucleotide ribosomal RNA is filed under the name uncultured bacterium. RNAcentral describes it as "bacterial SSU rRNA". It matches the Rfam family "Bacterial small subunit ribosomal RNA", at positions 28 to 507 of the family's 1533-position model. The record is from RNAcentral.